RNAcentral lists this small RNA (67 nucleotides) under Acididesulfobacillus acetoxydans. RNAcentral's name for it is "Peptococcaceae bacterium INE non-coding RNA". Lineage: Bacteria; Bacillati; Bacillota; Clostridia; Eubacteriales; Peptococcaceae. The record is from RNAcentral.
GUUUCAAUUCCUCAUAGGCAGGCUAUCGGCUAGAAAUCGUUUGUGUUGCAUACUUUCCAAACACCUG